RNAcentral lists this ribosomal RNA (712 nucleotides) under uncultured Acidobacteriota bacterium. Its description in RNAcentral is "bacterial SSU rRNA". It matches the Rfam family "Bacterial small subunit ribosomal RNA", at positions 32 to 775 of the family's 1533-position model. The record is from RNAcentral. Lineage: Bacteria; Pseudomonadati; Acidobacteriota.
AACGCUGGCGGCGCGCCUAACACAUGCAAGUCGAACGAGAAAGGGGAGCAAUCCCUGAGUACAGUGGCGUACGGGUGAGUAACACGUGGAUGAUCUACCUUUUAGUGGGGAAUAACUCUGGGAAACCGGAGAUAAUACCGCAUAAUCCCGAGAGGGGAAAGCAGCAAUGCGCUGAAAGAGGAGUCCGUGGCCGAUUAGCUAGUUGGCAGGGUAAAAGCCUACCAAGGCAAAGAUCGGUAGCCGGCCUGAGAGGGCACACGGCCACACUGGCACUGAAACACGGGCCAGACUCCUACGGGAGGCAGCAGUGGGGAAUCUUGCACAAUGGGGGAAACCCUGAUGCAGCGACGCCGCGUGAGCGAUGAAGCCCUUCGGGGUGUAAAGCUCUUUCGGCAGGGAAGAUAAUGACGGUACCUGCAGAAGCAGCUGCGGCUAACUACGUGCCAGCAGNCGCGGUAAUACGUAGGCAGCAAGCGUUGUUCGGAGUUACUGGGCGUAAAGGGUGUGUAGGCGGUUGUUUAAGUUUGGUGUGAAAUCUCCCGGCUCAACUGGGAGGGUGCGCCGAAUACUGAAUGACUUGGAGUGCGGGAGAGGAAAGUGGAAUUCCUGGUGUAGCGGUGAAAUGCGUAGAUAUCAGGAGGAACACCGGUGGUGUAGACGGCUUUCUGGACCGUAACUGACGCUGAGACACGAAAGCGUGGGUAGCAAACAG